CAGUCGCCGCGGUAAUACGGAGGGUGCAAGCGUUAUCCGGAUUUAUUGGGUUUAAAGGGUCCGUAGGCGGAUCUGUAAGUCAGUGGUGAAAUCUCACAGCUUAACUGUGAAACUGCCAUUGAUACUGCAGGUCUUGAGUAAAUUUGAAGUGGCUGGAAUAAGUAGUGUAGCGGUGAAAUGCAUAGAUAUUACUUAGAACACCAAUUGCGAAGGCAGGUCACUAAGAUUUAACUGACGCUGAUGGACGAAAGCGUGGGGAGCGAACAGGAUUAGAUACCCCCGUAGUCCCUGUCUCUUAUAC
Molecule: ribosomal RNA, 301 nt
Filed under: uncultured bacterium
Lineage: Bacteria
Description: partial 16S ribosomal RNA
Rfam family: Bacterial small subunit ribosomal RNA
Source: RNAcentral